UAGCAUACUAGCCCGAGGUUUGA
RNAcentral lists this non-coding RNA (23 nucleotides) under Mus musculus (house mouse). The record is from RNAcentral. Lineage: Eukaryota; Metazoa; Chordata; Mammalia; Rodentia; Muridae.